UAUGAUAGGUCAGUUAUUUUUCACUACUUUAUCCACACAUCCUUAGCUUCCUUCCUUUUCUUUUCCUUUUCCUUUUAUUGAAAAUAGAUUUUUUCUCAUAUAAUAUAUCCCCGGUUUCAGUUUCCCCUAUGUCUCCUCCUCCAAGUUUUCCCCCAAACCUUUUCUUCCAUAGGAAUCCACUCUCUUUCUGUCUCUCAUUAGAAAACAAACAGGCUCUUAAGGAAUAAUAGUUAAAUUAGAUAAAACAGAAUCUAAUGAGUGCGUCACUAUUUCUUGUACCUUUGUUUUUGGAACGUUCCCUUCUGUUUGUUUCAUCCAACUCCUAUGUCUUGAUUUCGUUAAUACAGAACUCAUGUGUCUCUCCUCAGUCAGGGCUGUGCCAAUGGACAAUGACAAUAGCCAUUCAAAAUAUUUUCUGCCAGUAUCUUUUCUGUAUUUUUAAAAUUUAUUUAUUUAUUUAUAUUCCAAAUGCAACGCCAAUCUCGGUCCUCUCUCAUGGGCCCCCCCCCCAAUCCUCUUCCCCUUCGUAGCUGAGAGGAUGUCCCCCCUCCCAUAUCUCCCUAUCCUGGUACAUCAAGUCUCUGCAGGAUUAGGUACAUCCUCUCCAACUGAGGCCAGACAAGACAGUCCUCUCCUACAUAUGAGCCUGGAACCUCGGAUCAGCCAGUGUUGGUUGGUAGCUCAGUCUUUGGGAACUCUCAAGGGUCCAGGUUAGUUGACACUUUGGUCUUCCUGUAGAGUUGCCGUCUCCUUCCGGCUUUCAAUCCUUCCCCUAACUCUUCCGCAGGGGGUCCUCAAACUUCCAUUCAAUGUU
This 814-nucleotide long non-coding RNA is filed under the name Rattus norvegicus (Norway rat). RNAcentral's name for it is "long non-coding RNA NONRATT021163". The record is from RNAcentral. Lineage: Eukaryota; Metazoa; Chordata; Mammalia; Rodentia; Muridae.